Molecule: long non-coding RNA, 233 nt
Filed under: Musa acuminata (dwarf banana)
Lineage: Eukaryota; Viridiplantae; Streptophyta; Magnoliopsida; Zingiberales; Musaceae
Description: long non-coding RNA (MACU_LNC005550)
Source: RNAcentral
ACGCCUCGUCUCAUUUGCAGCAACCAUGGCCUUCAAGCCUCUCCUCCUCCUCCUCAUCUCUUCCCUUCCCCUUAUCUCCUCUCGUUCGGAGCUGCAUGACUACCCGCCGUUGGCGGAUGGGCUGGCGUGGGAAUUCUACGACGACACCUGCCACGACCUCGAGUCCAUCGUCCGCGCCCACCUGCGUUCGGUGUUCGACAGCGACGUCGGCCUUGCCGCCGGCCUCCUCCGGG